GCUAGGACAGCUCAGUUGGUAGAUCAUGAGACUCUUCAUCUCAGGGUCAUGGGUUCGAGCCCCUCAUUAGGCA
This is a non-coding RNA of Podarcis lilfordi (Lilford's wall lizard), 73 nucleotides long. NCBI's taxonomy places the organism in Eukaryota, Metazoa, Chordata, Lepidosauria, Squamata, Lacertidae. The record is from the annotation of a GenBank genome assembly.